UACGGAGGGUGCAAGCGUUGUUCGGAAUUAUUGGGCGUAAAGGGCAGGUAGGUGGUCUUGAAAGUCUGCUGUGAAAUCCCCGAGCUUAACUUGGGAAGUGCGGCAGAUACUCCAAGACUAGAGUACUGGAGGGGUUCGUGGAAUUCCCGGUGUAGAGGUGAAAUUCAUAGAUAUCGGGAGGAACACCGGUGGCGAAGGCGGCGAUCUGGGUCGAUACUGACGCUGAGGUGCGAAAGCGUGGGGAGCAAACAGG
This 253-nucleotide ribosomal RNA is filed under the name uncultured bacterium. RNAcentral describes it as "partial 16S ribosomal RNA". It matches the Rfam family "Bacterial small subunit ribosomal RNA", at positions 524 to 776 of the family's 1533-position model. The record is from RNAcentral.